RNAcentral lists this long non-coding RNA (973 nucleotides) under Apteryx owenii (little spotted kiwi). RNAcentral's name for it is "lncRNA (ENSAOWG00000002102.1)". Lineage: Eukaryota; Metazoa; Chordata; Aves; Apterygiformes; Apterygidae. The record is from RNAcentral.
GGCGGCUGUUUCCCAGCCGGCGCGGGAAGGCUUUGGGCAGGGGACGCGCCGCCAGCAACAAUCGCCUGGGGGGAGCCGCGAGGCCACUGCCAGGCGGUGACGGCGCUGGAGAGCGGCCGGCCCCGGCAGAUCCGGACGUCGUCGCCGCGUUACCGUUAACUGCGCGCGUCCCGAGCAGAGCAGAUAGCCGCAGGGCCUCCCCGAGCGCCCUGCGCCGCUGGGAGCGAGGUCUCGGUGCGCCUGAGCUGGCCGGAGGUAGCUUUGCCCGGGAGAGCGGCUCCGUUUUGCUCAUGGCUGAGUGAAGAGGAAUGCCGCAGAAGUGGAGGAAGAAAGUAUGAAAUUAGAAGGUGUUAUGAUGAACCCUCCUGGUGUUUGGAACACAGACCAACUUCCAAUUCAGUGUUUUCAGGCAUAUCUGGAUUUUAGGGGGAUCUGAUCUCCUGACUGCCAUGAGGGAAGGUUGUUUAAAAGUAAAUGUGCCAACCUUUGAUUAAAAUGUACUAUGUUAGUCCAGUAUAUAUUUUUUAAGGAAAGCACUGUUGAGUCCUAAUGCCUGGGUCCUCUGCCUUGGUAGGUAUGCUUAUGGAAAGAAAUGUUUAUUAGAUCUGAUUGGAUAAUGUUCAAGACUAGUUACAGUUAAUAUCUAAAGCAGUUAUAGGCAUGGAGAAAUCUUAAGUUUGCCAUUCACAUCCAUUUAGCUAAUACAGUAUGGUGGUAACUGCUGCCACUUAUUGAAAGCUUUGGCUUCCUGGAAAGCGACUUCAGGCAUUAUAGAGGUAAUAAGGUCUCAAAUGUUGGUACUGACAGCAUCCUGUGGUGAGAUGCUUAUUUUAUUAAUUUUGGCAAGUUACUGAUGUAUUAAACAAUUGCUAAAGUGGUUAGCUAUCUUGAGGACAGUUUCCUAAAUAUAUCACAGGAUGGGGUUAUGGUGUAAUACAGUAUUUUUCAGAAUAAACAAGUUACACUUACUUCA